CCUACGGGUGGCAGCAGUGAGGAAUAUUGGUCAAUGGACGCGAGUCUGAACCAGCCAAGUAGCGUGAAGGAUGACUGCCCUAUGGGUUGUAAACUUCUUUUAUAAAGGAGUAAAGUGAGACACGUGUACCUGUUUGUAUGUACUUUAUGAAUAAGGAUCGGCUAACUCCGUGCCAGCAGCCGCGGUAAUACGGAGGAUCCGAGCGUUAUCCGGAUUUAUUGGGUUUAAAGGGAGCGUAGAUGGGUUGUUAAGUCAGUUGUGAAAGUUUGCGGCUCAACCGUAAAAUUGCAAUUGAUACUGGCAGCCUUGAGUACAGUUGAGGUAGGCGGAAUGCGUGGUGUAGCGGUGAAAUGCUUAGAUAUCACGAAGAACUCCGAUUGCGAAGGCAGCUUACUAAGCUGCCACUGACAUUGAGGCUCGAAAGUGUGGGGAUCAAACAGGAUUAGAUACCCUAGUAGUC
RNAcentral lists this ribosomal RNA (460 nucleotides) under uncultured bacterium. Its description in RNAcentral is "partial 16S ribosomal RNA". It matches the Rfam family "Bacterial small subunit ribosomal RNA", at positions 338 to 795 of the family's 1533-position model. The record is from RNAcentral.